Molecule: non-coding RNA, 244 nt
Organism: Hydra vulgaris (swiftwater hydra)
Lineage: Eukaryota; Metazoa; Cnidaria; Hydrozoa; Anthoathecata; Hydridae
Source: RefSeq, a predicted model, not a curated record
UUCAAUAAUUGUUUUUCAAAGUUUUCACUUGCACAGAUCUAAUUUCGUUUCACGUGGAUAAUAUCUGGCAGAUAUAGUCAAACGAAUGAACGUGAAAACGACGGGAAAAAUCCUCGAAACAACCAUGGCGUUUCAUCACGUUUCCUUAUUCAAGCAUCCUAACGUGUUUUUUUACCGAAGUCUUUUUGAGUAUAUUUAUAUAUUAUUGUUUUAUUCAAGUAUUCGAUUAAAUUAUACAGGUUUU